RNAcentral lists this ribosomal RNA (2901 nucleotides) under Escherichia coli. RNAcentral describes it as "bacterial LSU rRNA". It matches the Rfam family "Bacterial large subunit ribosomal RNA". Lineage: Bacteria; Pseudomonadati; Pseudomonadota; Gammaproteobacteria; Enterobacterales; Enterobacteriaceae. The record is from RNAcentral.
UUAAGCGACUAAGCGUACACGGUGGAUGCCCUGGCAGUCAGAGGCGAUGAAGGACGUGCUAAUCUGCGAUAAGCGUCGGUGAGGUGAUAUGAACCGUUAUAACCGGCGAUUUCCGAAUGGGGAAACCCAGUGUGUUUCGACACACUAUCAUUAACUGAAUCCAUAGGUUAAUGAGGCGAACCGGGGGAACUGAAACAUCUAAGUACCCCGAGGAAAAGAAAUCAACCGAGAUUCCCCCAGUAGCGGCGAGCGAACGGGGAGGAGCCCAGAGCCUGAAUCAGUGUGUGUGUUAGUGGAAGCGUCUGGAAAGGCGCGCGAUACAGGGUGACAGCCCCGUACACAAAAAUGCACAUAUUGUGAGCUCGAUGAGUAGGGCGGGACACGUGGUAUCCUGUCUGAAUAUGGGGGGACCAUCCUCCAAGGCUAAAUACUCCUGACUGACCGAUAGUGAACCAGUACCGUGAGGGAAAGGCGAAAAGAACCCCGGCGAGGGGAGUGAAAAAGAACCUGAAACCGUGUACGUACAAGCAGUGGGAGCCUCUUAAUGGGGUGACUGCGUACCUUUUGUAUAAUGGGUCAGCGACUUAUAUUCUGUAGCAAGGUUAACCGAAUAGGGGAGCCGAAGGGAAACCGAGUCUUAACUGGGCGUUAAGUUGCAGGGUAUAGACCCGAAACCCGGUGAUCUAGCCAUGGGCAGGUUGAAGGUUGGGUAACACUAACUGGAGGACCGAACCGACUAAUGUUGAAAAAUUAGCGGAUGACUUGUGGCUGGGGGUGAAAGGCCAAUCAAACCGGGAGAUAGCUGGUUCUCCCCGAAAGCUAUUUAGGUAGCGCCUCGUGAAUUCAUCUCCGGGGGUAGAGCACUGUUUCGGCAAGGGGGUCAUCCCGACUUACCAACCCGAUGCAAACUGCGAAUACCGGAGAAUGUUAUCACGGGAGACACACGGCGGGUGCUAACGUCCGUCGUGAAGAGGGAAACAACCCAGACCGCCAGCUAAGGUCCCAAAGUCAUGGUUAAGUGGGAAACGAUGUGGGAAGGCCCAGACAGCCAGGAUGUUGGCUUAGAAGCAGCCAUCAUUUAAAGAAAGCGUAAUAGCUCACUGGUCGAGUCGGCCUGCGCGGAAGAUGUAACGGGGCUAAACCAUGCACCGAAGCUGCGGCAGCGACACUAUGUGUUGUUGGGUAGGGGAGCGUUCUGUAAGCCUGUGAAGGUGGCCUGUGAGGGUUGCUGGAGGUAUCAGAAGUGCGAAUGCUGACAUAAGUAACGAUAAAGCGGGUGAAAAGCCCGCUCGCCGGAAGACCAAGGGUUCCUGUCCAACGUUAAUCGGGGCAGGGUGAGUCGACCCCUAAGGCGAGGCCGAAAGGCGUAGUCGAUGGGAAACAGGUUAAUAUUCCUGUACUUGGUGUUACUGCGAAGGGGGGACGGAGAAGGCUAUGUUGGCCGGCGACGGUUGUCCCGGUUUAAGCGUGUAGGCUGGUUUUCCAGGCAAAUCCGGAAAAUCAAGGCUGAGGCGUGAUGACGAGGCACUACGGUGCUGAAGCGACAAAUGCCCUGCUUCCAGGAAAAGCCUCUAAGCAUCAGGUAACAUCAAAUCGUACCCCAAACCGACACAGGUGGUCAGGUAGAGAAUACCAAGGCGCUUGAGAGAACUCGGGUGAAGGAACUAGGCAAAAUGGUGCCGUAACUUCGGGAGAAGGCACGCUGAUAUGUAGGUGAAGCGACUUGCUCGUGGAGCUGAAAUCAGUCGAAGAUACCAGCUGGCUGCAACUGUUUAUUAAAAACACAGCACUGUGCAAACACGAAAGUGGACGUAUACGGUGUGACGCCUGCCCGGUGCCGGAAGGUUAAUUGAUGGGGUUAGCGGUAACGCGAAGCUCUUGAUCGAAGCCCCGGUAAACGGCGGCCGUAACUAUAACGGUCCUAAGGUAGCGAAAUUCCUUGUCGGGUAAGUUCCGACCUGCACGAAUGGCGUAAUGAUGGCCAGGCUGUCUCCACCCGAGACUCAGUGAAAUUGAACUCGCUGUGAAGAUGCAGUGUACCCGCGGCAAGACGGAAAGACCCCGUGAACCUUUACUAUAGCUUGACACUGAACAUUGAGCCUUGAUGUGUAGGAUAGGUGGGAGGCUUUGAAGUGUGGACGCCAGUCUGCAUGGAGCCGACCUUGAAAUACCACCCUUUAAUGUUUGAUGUUCUAACGUGGGCCCCUUACCGGGGUUGCGGACAGUGUCUGGUGGGUAGUUUGACUGGGGCGGUCUCCUCCUAAAGAGUAACGGAGGAGCACGAAGGUUGGCUAAUCCUGGUCGGACAUCAGGAGGUUAGUGCAAUGGCAUAAGCCAGCUUGACUGCGAGCGUGACGGCGCGAGCAGGUGCGAAAGCAGGUCAUAGUGAUCCGGUGGUUCUGAAUGGAAGGGCCAUCGCUCAACGGAUAAAAGGUACUCCGGGGAUAACAGGCUGAUACCGCCCAAGAGUUCAUAUCGACGGCGGUGUUUGGCACCUCGAUGUCGGCUCAUCACAUCCUGGGGCUGAAGUAGGUCCCAAGGGUAUGGCUGUUCGCCAUUUAAAGUGGUACGCGAGCUGGGUUUAGAACGUCGUGAGACAGUUCGGUCCCUAUCUGCCGUGGGCGCUGGAGAACUGAGGGGGGCUGCUCCUAGUACGAGAGGACCGGAGUGGACGCAUCACUGGUGUUCGGGUUGUCAUGCCAAUGGCACUGCCCGGUAGCUAAAUGCGGAAGAGAUAAGUGCUGAAAGCAUCUAAGCACGAAACUUGCCCCGAGAUGAGUUCUCCCUGACUCCUUGAGAGUCCUGAAGGAACGUUGAAGACGACGACGUUGAUAGGCCGGGUGUGUAAGCGCAGCGAUGCGUUGAGCUAACCGGUACUAAUGAACCGUGAGGCUUAACCUU